ACCAGGUGGGCACAACCCACCUGGGCGCACUGUGAUGCCCCCGAUUUGACCGUACACUAAUCAUACACGCAAACGUGUAUGAUCAAGAUCAGGGACUCACGGGAAGAAAUCACAACACAACUCUACAAAUAAAAUAAGUCAUACAAGCAUCAUAUUACAAGCCAAGGGCCUCGGGGGCUCGAAUACAAGAGCUCGAUCAUAGAAGAGUCAGCGGAAGCAACAAUAUCUGAGUACAGACAUAAGUUAAACAAGUUUGCCUUAAGAAGGCUAGCACAAACUGGGAUACAGAUCGAAAGAGGCGCAUGCCUCCUACCUGGGAUCCUCCUAAACUACUCAUGGUCGUCGUCAGCGGGCUGCACGUAGUAGUAGGCACCUCCCGAGUAGUAGUAGUCGUCGUCGACGGUGGGGUCUGGCUCCUGGGCUCCAACGUCUGGUCGCAGCAAUCGAGUAUAGAAAGGGGGAAAAGAGGAAGCAAGCAACCGUGAGUACUCAUCCAAAGUACUCGAAAGCAAGGAGCUACACUACAUAAGUAUGCAUUGGUAUCAAAUGGAAUAAGGGUAUCAUAUGUGGACUGAACUGCAGAAAGCCGGAAUAAGAGGGGGAUAGCUAAUCCUUUUGAAGACUACGCUUCUGGUAACCUCCAUCUUGCAGCAGGAGAAGAGAGUAGAUGGUAAAUUCACCAAGUAGCAUCGUGUAGCAUAAUCCUACCCGGCGAUCCUCUCCUUGUCGCCCUGUUAGAGAGCGACCACCGGGUUGUAUCUGGCACUUGGAAGGGUGUGUUUUAUUAAGUAUCCGGUUCUAGUUGUCAUAAGGUCAAGGUACAACUCCAAGUCGUCCUGUUACCGAAGAUCACGGCUAUUCGAAUAGAUUAACUUCCCUGUAGGGGUGCACCACAUUUCCCAACACGCUCGAUCCCCUUUGUCCGGACACACUUUUUUUGGAUCAUGCCCGACCUCGGAAGAUCAACACGUCGCAGCCCUACCUAGGCACAACAGAGAGGUCAGCACGCCGGUCUAAAUCCUAUGGCGCAGGGGUCUGGGCCCAUCGCCCAUUGCACACCUGCACGUUGCGAGGGCGGCCGGAGAGCAGACCUAGCAGCCUCCAUUACAAAGGAAGUUGCGUUAUGCGGCCCAACCCGGCGCGCGCCGCUCAGUCGCUGACGUCACGAAGGCUUUGGCUUAUACCACGACGUCGAGUGCCCAUAACUGUCCCCGCAUAGAUGGUUAGUGUGUAUAGGCCAGUGCCUGACUGAGAUCAAAUACCAAGAUCUCCUUAAACGUGUUAAGUAUCCGCGAACGCCAACCAGGGCCAGGCCCACCUCUCUCCUAGGUGGUCUCAACCUGCCCUGUCGCUCCGCCACAAAGUAACAGUCGGGGGCCGUCGGGAACCCAGGCCCACCUCUACCGGGAUGGAGCCACCUGCCCCUUCAUCCCCCAACUCCGAACAGUAUCAUAAGUAAUGUAACAGUAUAAAGUAUAUCGCAUAUGCCCGUGAUCACCUCCCGAAGUGAUCACGGCUCAGUAGUAUAGCAUGGUAGACAGACAAGAGUGUAGGGCCACUGAUGGAACACUAGCAUCCUAUACUAAGCAUUAGGAUAGCAUGUAAAGGUAACAACAGUAGUAGCAAGGACAUGCUAUGCAUCAAAAUAGGAUUAACGAAAAGCAGUAACAUGCUACACUACUCUAAUGCAAGCAGUAGAGAGAAGAAUAGGCGAUAUCUGGUGAUCAAGGGGGGGGCUUGCCUGGUUGCUCUGGCAAGAAGGACGGGUCGUCAACACCGUAGUCGAAAUGGGGGUCACCGGCAGCCUCGGGGUCUACUAAAAAGAAGUAACGGAGGGGGAACUGAUGAGGACAUGACUACCUUGGAUACGACCAAAAAUAUUGCAUACAUGCAUAUUUGUUAGGUGAUUUCUAAUGCAAACUAUUCAAUAAUCUAUUUAUGUUAUCCAGAACAAAAAUACUUCACACACUUUUGUGUUUUUUCUAAUUGCAGGUGUAUGGCACAUUUGUACAAUCCACAUAUGAAGAUAAGGGAAAAGGAGAAGUUUAGGUUGUGUUCAAAAAGUCCUCUCACGUCACUUUUGGGCCAAGAGAGGAUAAUGUCCAAGUCUCUCACGUUCUGGAUUCAGAUUCGGACUGCACAGACAUACCUGGCUCAAAACACCAACAACUUUUUCAUACGGACUCCGAAUUUGGUGAUUCUUUUUUUGUUGGAAACUAGAUUUCGUGCUCUUUCCAACCCAAUUGGAUUGACCUUCAAAUUCAUCUGGAGCAUUGAGUUACGGACGAAACAAUCUGACAUUGCAGCAGGAUCCGAGUCAAACUACAAGCCCAAAGGUGUUGCAUCACCUCCACUUGGGCCCAUGAGCCUUGUAAGACCUAGGGUUAGUUUUAGGCUGCCUUGGGACGUCCUCCCACCUCCUUGGCCGCCACCCCUUGCUCCUAUAUAAGUAGAUCCAUCUAGUAGCUUUUUCCUUAGGAUUUGUUUAGUUAAAAGUUAGCCAUUGCAACUUUGUGUACUUCGUUUGUGUCCAACGACCAGACCAAGACCGCUUCCGAAUCCCCACCAUUAUCAAUACUUCAUAUAUAUUUGCAAUAUUCAGAUUGCUUUAUCAUAUUUUUGCUCGUUCUUCGAUUGCUUGCAGGAAUAGACCUUCGUGGUCAGGCUGACCGUGCUUCCAGCAUCGUCAGUAACCUCAGGAGAUUGGUUUAGCGAUUGCUAAGGCGCAACGUCGUGCAUGUUUGUAGUCGAAUCGUCAAAGUCGUCUCCACCAAAUCGAUAGUUAUCAUCUCAUCGAAAGAUCGGGACCCUCGCCUCUAUCAAGUGGUAUCAGUUUUCAGGUUGCUCAGUGAGAAUUUUCAGUUUUCCUAGAUUAGAUUUAUUUUCUUACCUAUUGUCCAAGAAAAAGCCACAAAAAAGAGUUAGAUCUAUUCAUCCUUGGUCCAAGCCAGUAUGAGGCUUUGCAAUUUUCUUUUCAUUGCUUGCAUAGUAGAAUUAUCGGUUGCAUCGUCGUGUCGAGUUGCUGGUCUUAGUGUCUAGUUCGUUUAGAGUUUCGAGUUCUGUUCACAUUAGUCACGCCACCGCUGCAUCAUUAUCUCUUCCGCUGUCCAUCACCCAUCCAUCAAUUUCCACCACGUGCUACCCACCAUUCAUUGUCAUAAUAAUAGUUGAGAUCAUUCACAUCUUCGCUUAAUCCAAUCUGCAUCUUAUCUAGUUUGUUUUGGAAAGAGGGAGAAAAACAGAGAGAAAAAAACGGGAGAAAAAAAGAGAAAAAAAGUCAGAGAAAAAAGGAGAGAAAGAAAAAAAAAGUGUGAGGAAAAAAAGAGAGAAGAAAAAAAACAAAAUUCGGAUCUUUUUAGACUCAAUCUCAUAGUUGAAUUCGGAUUGGAAUCUGUUUUGUGCACUGUUCAGUAAAACAGGCAUAACUUCCUCAUACGAAGUCCGUUUUGCCUCUGCGAGUACUCAAACGAAAGCUAGCGACGAGCCGCAUAUAAAUAGUUGAAGAAGCUAGUUCAAUAUUUGGCACAUCAAAAUCGGCUUCUAAAUAGGUCUUUUUGCCCUCCGAAGUUCAUGAACACAGCUUAUUCCAGUUUUUCAGGCCAGUUUUCGAAUUUUUUGACUCCUCAUAUCAACUCGGAAUUGAGUGAUUCUUUUUGUGUUUGAAAUCUUGAGUCAAUACCAUUCUUGAAAAAAAAAUCAAAAAAUCGGCACAAACUUUUUCAGAGAAAAGUUGGAGACAAAGUUGUUGAUAUAUCCUGCUUGGCUGUUGUUUCACAUCAUUAUCUUUACUGCCGUUGUGAUCUUCACUUAUAUCUUGCUGUCCAGAGCUACUUAGUAUCCUUCAUUGAUGCUAGUUGUGCUACGACGUGACCUCAUUAGUGUUCUAGGCUCGCGUCUCUAGUUCGGUCUAGCCUAGGACUAGCACAGUACCGUCGUUGAGCGUUUAUUUAACAUUGCAUCUCUGAAUUGAUUAUUGCUAAUCUUUUGCUACCAUAUAUAGCCAACCCAGCUCCACAUAUUUCUACACCGUGUAUACGUACGUUCCCCUGGCAAUCGCUUUACACAAUCUUCAGAGUUAUUUGACACCGUUGGUUGCCUGUCACCACCUGCUGCUUGGUAAGAACUUGUAAGAUAUUGAUAUUUGCUUUACUGUGAGCGAUUUACCACCACACCCUAGUAGUUCAUAGGAACAUUAUUCUUGAAUUUUGUUUCUUGUUUCUACUAAUCAUGACAGGUUCCGAAGAUAGAAGUUCUUGGACGACGGACACAUCUUCACCAUCACGAGAGUUGGGACAACACACACAAGCACAUGGUCAGGUUAUCUUUUUACCGUCAUUUGAGGGUAGAUUUAAUCCUACUACUUAUCUAGCUUGGGAGCUUGAAGUAGAACAAGUUUUUAGUCACCGUGACUUUUCUGAACUUGAGCGAGUGCGAGCAGCCACUAGAGCAAUUACUGAUUUUGCUUCUGUUUGGUGGAGUGUACAUUGUAAGAAAAACAUUGAUAACCAACCCACAACUUGGAAAAUUUUGAAAGCUGUAAUGAGACAACAAUUUUUCCCUCCUUAUUAUCGUCGUGAAUUGCUUCGCAAAUUUGAACAAUCUAAACAAGGCAACAACAUUGUUCAUGCUUACUACCAAGAGUUCAAAUCUUAUAUGCAUCAUUGUGACAUAGAAGAAUCUGAGAAUGAUACAAUGAAUAGAUUUUUUGGUGGUUUGAACCAUGAUAUUCAGGCAAGAUUUCAGUAUAUUCCUCGUUGCAUUACUGGUAUGUAUGUCCGUGCUUGUACCUUUGAGAGACAGAUACAGGAGGAUGCAUUAGGUGACUACAACAACUACUAUUCCAGUUCAUGCUCACCACCGCCGGUGGGUUCCUCCAUCAUUGCACCUCGGAUUAUGAGCGCGGCAUCAUCUCAAGGGUAUGGUACAUUGUCAAUGUCCGUACCUACAUCAGCUACAUCUUUGCCACAAGGUAACAGUAAAGGUAUUGAUGAUAUAACUUCACAUGAGAAUGAUGCAUGCCUAGUUAACUUGAAUGCGACAUGUAUUGAGUUACCUGUUGAUUUGAGCACACCACCUAUUUUAGAUAAUCUUGUUACUGUCAUGAAUGCGUCAUGUGAUCAAACAACUGAAAUAUCAACAAUUUUGAGUGCACCCAUUGAAUUAACUGUUGAUGCAAAAGAACUAAUGUUUAAUCAUUUUGACAUGGCCUCCAAUCUUGGUGAUGAUUCUGUGUCCAAUGACUUAUUGCAUGUUUGCUUAUUUAAGCAUGUUGUAGCAUGUAAAUUUGAUGCAAGUAAGGUUUAUUCACCAAAGUUGGGAUGGUUUAAUGAUGAACAUUGCAAAUCUUUUGAAAUGAAUAAGAGCUUCACUUAUAUGUGCAAACUGAGUUCUAAUAUUUUCAUGCCUUCUACUUCUUGUGAUAAUUUUUUGGCUUUAGUUUUUAUGAACUAUAAAAGUUACUCAUGUAUACAUGUGUCAUACGUGCAAAAAUCAAGGGAAGUUAAACUGGAUGACAUAUACAUAUACAACAUGUACACCUUGUCUCUUUUGUUAGCCACAUUUCACAUUAAGCAACGCCGAGGACGGCUUUGUUUUCAAAAAGGAGAGGAUGAUGAGGACAUGACUACCUUGGAUACGACCAAAAAUAUUGCAUACAUGCAUAUUUGUCAGGUGAUUUCUAAUGCAAACUAUUCAAUAAUCUAUUUAUGUUAUCCAGAACAAAAAUACUUCACACACUUUUAUGUUUUGUCUAAUUGCAGGUGUAUGGCACAUUUGUACAAUCCACAUAUGAAGAUAAGGGAAAAGGAGAAGUUUAGGUUGUGUUCAAAAAGUCCUCUCACGUCACUUUUGGGCCAAGAGAAGAUAAAGUCCAAGUCUCUCACGUUUUGGAUUCAGAUUCGGACUGCACAGACAUACCUGACUCAAAACACCAACAACUUUUUCAUACGGACUCCGAAUUGGGUGAUUCUUUUUUUGUUGGAAACUAGAUUUCGUGCUCUUUCCAACCCAAUUGGAUUGACCUUCAAAUUCGUCCGGAGCUUUGAGUUACGGACGAAACAAUCUGACGUUGCAGCAGAAUCCAAGUCAAACUACAAGCCCAAAGGUGUUGCAUCACCUCCACUUGGGCCCAUGAGCCUUGUACGACCUAGGGUUAGUUUUAGGCUGCCUUGGGACGUCCUCCCACCUCCUUGGCCGCCACCCCUUGCUCCUAUAUAAGUAGAUCCAUCUAGUAGCUUUUUCCUUGGGAUUUGUUUAGUAAAAAGUUAGCCAUUGCAACUUCGUGUACUUCGUUUGUGUCCAAUGACCAGACCAAGACCGCUUCCGGAUCCCCACCAUUAUCAAUACUUCAUAUAUAUUUGCAAUAUUCAGAUUGCUUUAUCAAAUUCUUGCUCGUUCUUUGAUUGCUUGCAGGAAUAGACCUUCGUGGUCAGGCUGACCGUGCUUCCAGCAUCGUCACUAACCUUAGGAGAUUGGUUUAGCGAUUGCUAAGGCCCAACGUCGUGCACGUUUGUAGUCGGAUCGUCAAAGUCGUCUCCACCAAAUCGAUAGUUAUCAUCUCAUCAAAAGAUCGGGACCCUCGCCUCUAUCAGGAACACAAUAAAUAAUAGAGCAAUCAAAGCAUCACAAGGGAUAACACGGAAAUACGCGGUGCUAGAGGUGACCUAACGCAGUAGAAGGUGAUACCAGCAAAGGGUGAGAACAUCCGGGAAAGUAUUCUCGGUUUUUCGCGUUUUCACAAAAAUGAACCGGAGGGGGAAAGUUGCGUGUUCGCUAUGCUAGGGAUGCGUGGCAGAUGAAUGGGACACAUAUUAAGAUUCGUCUCGUCGUUCUGAGCAACUUUCAUGUACAAAGUUUUUUCGUCCGAGUUACGGAUUAUUUUCUAUGAAUUUCUAAAGUUUUAUUAUUAUUUCGAAUAUUAUUAAUUCGAAUUUAAAAAGGAAUUGGCUAGGUGCACACAGCAGCAGCUUAGUUUCAGUGGCUUACAAGUGGGGUCCAAUGGUUGGGUUGACCUAGUCAAGGGUGACCAGUCAACAGGGAGUGUGGCCCACAUGUCAUAGACUACACCUAAUAAUUGUAAUAGGCCUACCCAAUUAACUAAACUAAUUAAGUACAAGGGCCCACUUGGCAUAUGAUAGUUUAGCCCCUAAUCUAACCUACUACUAAUUAAAUGGACCGGCCAUUAGUUUAGCCGUGCCUCACGGCUGGGCAUGCGCAGCCACGGCCUGAAGCACACGAGGCAUCCAGGAGAAGCCACACGAGAGGUGUGCGAGCUGUGGGCAUGGCAUGCACGCGGGGCAUGCGUGGGAGGGCGCAGGGCACAGUCGAGAUGGCCAAGGCGAGCGGCACUGAUAGGGCCUUGCGGCAGGGAGCAGAGCACCAACAGGGUGAGCAGCGGGGCAACAACAAAAGAGCAGUAGCAAGCAGCCGCAUGGAGCAGGAGCAGCGGCAAGAGGAGCUGCGUGCAGCACGACAGACGGCUGCAGGCACAGGGGCAUGACCACGGGCGGCUGGGUGCGGUCACGGCGGCCGGGCGCGCGCAGGGGGCGACAGGCAGCAUCGUUCUAGAGCAGCAGCAGCGCGGUCACGCACGGGAGCUUGAGCUCCGGCCACGGCGGCGCAGCACGGGGACGGCCACAAUGGUGACAAAUCGAAGCAGGGAGAGAGGGGAUCCGGGAGGAGCUCACAGUGAGGCGGAAGGCGUUCUCGGGAAGGCCGGCAACGGGUCGGAGAGGCGGUGGUCAUGGCGGGAUGCGGCGGUCGGAGGAAGAAGACGAAGACCGCGUCGGCCACGCGGCUCCCCGGGCUGAUGAGGCGCCCAGAACGGAUGAAGACGAGGGCAGUGGACCUCCAGGACGUACUCCCGCACGCUGGAGGGGCCGGUGGACGCCUCAACAACGGAGAUGCAGCAAUGACCGUGAGUGAUUUCGAGAUCUAAUUCGCGAAGAAGAGGAGGGGCCCGAUGGGGGGAAAGAGGGGAGAAUGGAUGAGUGNNNNNNNNNNNNNNNNNNNNNNNNNNNNNNNNNNNNNNNNNNNNNNNNNNNNNNNNNNNNNNNNNNNNNNNNNNNNNNNNNNNNNNNNNNNNNNNNNNNNNNNNNNNNNNNNNNNNNNNNNNNNNNNNNNNNNNNNNNNNNNNNNNNNNNNNNNNNNNNNNNNNNNNNNNNNNNNNNNNNNNNNNNNNNNNNNNNNNNNNNNNNNNNNNNNNNNNNNNNNNNNNNNNNNNNNNNNNNNGGGGAGGGGCACCCAUAUAGGGCCAGAGGGGCGACGUGGAGGGCAUCCAUGGCCAUGGUGCCCUGGAUGUGUGCCACACAUAUGCUCAUGUAGGUGAGGUUGAAGGAGAGAUAGAUGAGCUAGGCCUAGGUAAAUUGCUAGAUGGGCCAAAGUGCACAGUAGAUUUAGGCCCUCUUGUUUUCUCUUUUUCUUUAGCUAGACAUUUUCCUGUUUAUUUAAUAUUUCAAAUUGUUUUAGUUUUGUAAAACAUAUAGUUAGCACCUAAAUUGGUAAUAGUAGUUAUACCACUGCCACAAUUAAUUUUGUAUAUAAAAAGUGGUUUGCAAGAAUUAUUUAAUCAUUUAAGAGACAUUUAAAUAAUUGUUUCAGCUCAUGUUUUACUUAUCUUAGAGCAUUUAAUUAUUUUAUAAAAAAUGUGGUUUCUUCACCAAAAUAAUGUAUGAAUUAUUUUCCGUAAACCAAACAUUUUAGUUUUAAUGUUAGAAAACUUUUGAUGUUUGCCAUUAACUCAAAUAUGAAUUCUAAUUGUUUUGAACUAACGCGAGAUUAGCAAUAGUAAUCAUGGUGACGUGGCAUCAUUAGCAGAGGUUACUGUAGCUUAAUUAUCCGGGCGUUAGAAUUCUCCUCCACUACAAGAAAUCUCGUCCUGAGAUUUAAGAGGUGGGGUAAGGGGAAAGGUUUGGUCACGAAAUUCUAGCGCAUCUUAUCGGACUUGGUUGCUCUUCUCGAAGAAAUCGAUCCAUUAUAUUGACGUCUUCAUUUGUCUGCUUCAGGUCAUCAUGAUGAAGUCGGCAUCCUUUCCUUGGGAACUCCAUCGUACGUGCGAAGGUCAAGGGGUAACUUCGGAAGAACGGGCCGCUACAAUGUUGCUUAUCUGGUAGAUAACAUCAGGAGAGGUAGCAGAACGUAACUCUCGAAUUGAUACUUAAGGAAUUAUCGAGAGCAAAGUAAGAAGGUGCAAAAUGGAAGUUUCAAGCACAUAGGCAAUCGUUUGUUGCCUGAAACGAAGUGUGAAAGGGGUUUAGAGCAAUGGGAAUACGCAUUGCGUCUGAUACCAUAAUAGAUCACGAGGCAGGUGGCCCGUGAAUUACAUACGAAGUCAAGCGCGAGGAAUAACUUUGACACUAGGGUGUACAGGAGAGUCAGGUUUCGAUCCUGUGGAACUGUGGGUUAUGGGCCCACCAUGUGGGUUAAACAUAGAAAGAGCGGUGACCUCUUGCACGGUUAUGAUAGCAAGGCAUGCCAGAGAAUAGCCUGUUAGUUAUGUCGGCAACAACGUCGGUACCAAGGGAGAGGGACAAAGAGAACCAUUUUCCUGCUCGUUCAAACGAGGCGGACCUAUAGGCAAAGUUCUCGUCCAUCGGUGGUUACGGGAAUGUCAUCAACAAUAGUAAUAGGCUCUUACAGACAGAGUUGUACACCGAGAUGUUUGCACAAGCAAGGAAUUAUUAUUGCUUAUAUCAUAUAGAUCAUAGAAACGGUUUAAAUUAACCAAUGGAAAGGGAAAAAUAUCUAUCAGAUUUAAUCAGAACAAUGGAAAGAAAAAUGUGUUUAAACACAUAUUUCAGGGGUAUAUCCUUCCCAAGGACAAGCAGGGCAUGAUAUGCAUGACAGGAUAUAACGUAGAAAACCAUUUAGGUUAGGGAAGAGGAAGUUCAUGACAUUACCCAAACAACGGUGUUUGAAUAAUUGAUAAAGAGAAUUUAGCAUUUUGCUUCAAAUGCUCUUAUUGAAAAUCGGAGUACCACAGACAUGCUUCGAGAUAGCAUUGACAUGGUCAUUGGGUAAAGAUCGGACUUUGGAAACAUAAAGGAUUCAUCAGGAACAACUUAUAGAAUAAGUCUUACAAUUUCCUCAUGGAAGAAUGGAUAACCUUGCUGAAAAGGAAUCUAUAACAAUAGGGCCUCUGGCCAGGUGUGCUAGGCACGACAUCACCUUGCCGAUUCAUAUAAAGACCAAUAUUACGACUGUUGGAAAAUGUUCCAACCAUCAUAUCCGACCGAGAUUUAGUUCAGAUUGAUGUCAGGAUACCUCAUACUCAGGAUACCUGAGAAGGAAAGGUGCAACACAAAUUGACAAGACGACAUUGUAAGAUUCUCGGUAAAUGAACUAUGGAAGCAAGUUUCGAAUCAUGAGUUCAUUAUUAAAUCAAGGAGAGAGUGAGGAGGUGGUUGAUGAACUCAGUGACAAUUCAUCGAGAUUUCCAAAAGAUGGAUUUCCACAAUUAUGUGAACAAGGAGAUAGCUUUUGUCAGUUCAAAUGAUAUAAUGAGGUAUGCUCGAGGAAACAUACACGAUUAAACAUUGGUUGACAGUGCACCCGAAAUACGGACUUAGGUAGCACAAUCAAUGUUAGAAUGGCGAUUCGAUAACCAAUGGUCUAAGAAUGAAAUGUUGACCAUUAACUUCAAAGCAAUAAGGUUGCUAGAAGUUUUAAAAUUACUAGUCCAUCUGUCAGUAUUCCUGUUAGGAACAACACGGGGACCAAGAAAAGAAUGGUGAUGGUGAAGUAUCACUUAUAUCAAGAAUUCUCAAGAGGUGCUGAGAUUCUCACAACAUUCCUGACAUAAAAUAUGGUAAUACUCCAAGGUAAAGAAGAACAAUUUCUGGAUAGCAAGGAUCUCAAGGUAUAUCACAAAGCACGAACAAGUUUGUGUUGAAUGAAAGGCAAUAAAGUGGUCGAUGAUAACACAAAUCAUUGAGAGCAAAGGGUGGUAUUUCUCAUCAAGAAUUCGAUAGAUAUCUUGGAAGAGCUCAGAAUGUUGAUGAUGUUCACGACACAUUUGUGCGAGAUUUCAUGAAGAUGUAAUUGAUCGGCGACGACAUCAAGUCAAAGGAAUGAUGAGGCGAAAGAUUAUUGGAACUAAGAGUAUGACACAAACUCGAAAUCAAGCUUGGUGUUCAAGGCGAAAUGAUGCGAUGAUGAAGAUCGGCAUAAGGUUAGCUCAUCGUCGAAAGUUGUGCUUCGGGAUUAAGGACCAGGUAGCAUAGUUAAAAAGUUGCAUGAUAAUGAUAUAGCCGAUCAGGCUAGGAAUGACUUGAAGGAUUAUUAAAUCAUAAGCAACGAAAAUUACUUAGAGUUAUUGAAUCGGAGUGCGGAAUCGAUUCACUUAUCGGUGUUCUCGAGUGACUAAUAACUCAAAACCCAAGAGAAAUCGGAAUCGGCGAGAAUAAUAGUUGAUGAAGAACUCAUAAGAAGUUAUGUAGUUCCGUGAUAUUCUCAAGAUAACAGAGGGUAUUACUCGGUAGAGUAGAAUAGAGGUUGGACAGGUGUAUUAUCCUGCAGAAGACAAGUACUUCAACUUGUACGAGAAUGUGAUCAAAGAAGAACAAUAUGGUCGGAACCACGAUCGGAAAGGACCAAACAUAGAUACAGGACGAACCUAUAACAAGGGGAUUAUUAUCAUUACAAGAAGCUUCGAUGAUAAGUUUCACAUCGGGUCCAUGGGCAUGAACACAAAGUUCAAGGUCGACUCCCACUUCUCCAAUGCAUAACCUUUCAUUCACUUCACAUUUUCGAAGAAGUUGUAGUGUUGAAAUUUUAUCUAGUGAAGCACCAGAAGAGUACGACUCGUGAAAACUUUCGGGUUCACACGGUUUAGAAAAGGUAUAGAUUCAACCCAUCAGGGUAUCUUAGAAACAUAUACCACAAGCUUCAAGAGUAAAUAUCACCAGCUCGAAAGCAGAGCAAGGUUGAGAAAGUAGAGGAUACAAUUUACCAAAGGCAUUAUGUAUCCGAGGGAAGGCUCACAAGGUUAUUGGAUAUGAAGGACACUGUCGGAUAAAAUCCAUUAAAGGAUCUGCCGGUCCAUAACAGAGCUGAUGUGAGCAUCGGCACACAACCAGAGGAAGUAAUAAUGCAAAGGCAUUGGAUUAUAGAAACAACUGACUAAUCCAGAGCUCAAAUGCAAAGGAAUUGUAAUUUUCAAAUCAAGGGAUCAGAAGCAAUGUUCUAAUUAGGGAUGGAUAGGUUGAAUAGCCUUAGGGGUACAAUCGACGGCAAUCGGAUUGGUUGAGAACCAACUCAGUCUGAGCCGGAAAGAUAAUUUAAAAGGAUCAACUGAUGAUUGCGUGCAUUCGCACUCAUGUUGAAUCAAUAGGAUCAAAAUCACGGUGUCUAAGGAUACUAACGAAUAUUGUCAGACAUAUGGAAAGCAUCCAUAAUGCAAGUAGACAAGUAUUGCAGAGCAAUAAGCUACUGAGGAAUUUUGGAGGAUCGAAUAGUAUUUCAAAGACAAUUGUGAAACACAUGAACAAUUAGGGAUGAGCGGAUACUAGAUAAGGGCAAGAAAUUAUCCGUAGGGGUAUUCAGGUGGCAAGGAACUACAAGGCAGUAGGCACAAAAUAUUCUUGGAACAAUUGAGGGGAUUUCAGGAUAUCUUGUUAUAACAAGAUCAACUGGGAAUAAAAGUAAAAACGACAAGUGUAUGUAAUUAUCCAUAGGGAUAUUUCGAUGGUAGGGAAUUGCACAAGCAUGAGCACAAGUUAUCGGGAUAACAUCAAGAGUAUCUUCGAGGUCUACAGUUGAAUCGAGCCAUCAUCUGGAAUGAAGGGGCUCUCCGGGAGAAAGUAGAUACGAGAACCUAAAGUCAGAUUUAGUAAAAUCAUUUAACCCGAAUAGAAGAGAGAUCAGAGUCCCAGAGUAUAGAAGAGGAGUAAAAGAUCCUCAUACCACCCGAUGGCCACAUGGGCCCAUAAGCCACACAACCAUGUUAGUAAAAGUUUUGCAAUGUCUAGACUCGACUUCGGCCAAGAAGUGUGGAAGGGGGAUUCCUACAGGCAGUCAGCUCUGAUACCAACUUGUGAUGCCCCCGAUUUGACCGUACACUAAUCAUACACGCAAACGUGUACGAUCAAGAUCAGGGACUCACGAGAAGAUAUCACAACACAACUCUACAAAUAAAAUAAGUCAUACAAGCAUCAUAUUACAAGCCAAGGGCUUCGAGGGCUCGAAUACAAGAGCUCGAUCAUAGAAGAGUCAGCGGAAGCAACAAUAUCCGAGUACAGACAUAAGUUAAACAAGUUUGCCUUAAGAAGGCUUACACAAACUGGGAUACAGAUCGAAAGACGCACAUGCCUCCUACCUGGGAUCCUCCUAAACUACUCCUGGUCGUCGUCAUCGGGCUGCACGUAGUAGUAGGCACCUCCCGAGUAGUAGUAGUCGUCGUCGACGGUGGGGUCUGGCUCCUGGGCUCCAACAUCUGGUCGCAGCAAUCGAGUAUAGAAAGGGGG
RNAcentral lists this long non-coding RNA (13460 nucleotides) under Triticum aestivum (bread wheat). Its description in RNAcentral is "long non-coding RNA (TAES_LNC010286)". Lineage: Eukaryota; Viridiplantae; Streptophyta; Magnoliopsida; Poales; Poaceae. The record is from RNAcentral.